UAUACGAUGAAGAGUUUGAUCCUGGCUCAGGAUGAACGCUAGCGGCAGGCUUAACACAUGCAAGUCGAGGGGUAUAGUUCUUCGGAAUUAGAGACCGGCGCACGGGUGCGUAACGCGUAUGCAAUCU
RNAcentral lists this ribosomal RNA (127 nucleotides) under Flavobacterium hydatis. RNAcentral's name for it is "partial 16S ribosomal RNA". It matches the Rfam family "Bacterial small subunit ribosomal RNA", at positions 1 to 127 of the family's 1533-position model. Lineage: Bacteria; Pseudomonadati; Bacteroidota; Flavobacteriia; Flavobacteriales; Flavobacteriaceae. The record is from RNAcentral.